AACCGGAUUAGAUACCCUGGUAGUCCACGCCGUAAACGGUGGGUACUAGGUGUGGGUUUCCUUCCUUGGGAUCCGUGCCGUAGCUAACGCAUUAAGUACCCCGCCUGGGGAGUACGGCCGCAAGGCUAAAACUCAAAGAAAUUGACGGGGGCCCGCACAAGCGGCGGAGCAUGUGGAUUAAUUCGAUGCAACGCGAAGAACCUUACCUGGGUUUGACAUGCACAGGACGACGGUAGAGAUAUCGUUUCCCUUGUGGCCUGUGUGCAGGUGGUGCAUGGCUGUCGUCAGCUCGUGUCGUGAGAUGUUGGGUUAAGUCCCGCAACGAGCGCAACCCUUGUCUCAUGUUGCCAGCGCGUUAUGGCGGGGACUCGUGAGAGACUGCCGGGGUCAACUCGGAGGAAGGUGGGGAUGACGUCAAGUCAUCAUGCCCCUUAUGUCCAGGGCUUCACACAUGCUACAAUGGCCGGUACAAAGGGCUGCGAUGCCGCGAGGCUUAGCGAAUCCUUUAAAGCCGGUCUCAGUUCGGAUCGGGGUCUGCAACUCGACCCCGUGAAGUCGGAGUCGCUAGUAAUCGCGGAUCAGCAACGCUGCGGUGAAUACGUUCCCGGGCCUUGUACACACCGCCCGUCACGUCAUGAAAGUCGGUAACACCCGAAGCCAGUGGCCUAACCCUUGUGGGGGGAGCUGUCGAAGGUGGGAUCGGCGAUUGGGACGAAGUCGUAACAAGGUAACCGUAAAU
This 739-nucleotide ribosomal RNA is filed under the name uncultured endophytic bacterium. RNAcentral's name for it is "bacterial SSU rRNA". It matches the Rfam family "Bacterial small subunit ribosomal RNA", at positions 771 to 1507 of the family's 1533-position model. The record is from RNAcentral.